GACGAACGCUGGCGGCGUGCUUAACACAUGCAAGUCGAACGGAAAGGCCUGCUUUCCCUUGUGGAUUGCGGGUACUCGAGUGGCGAACGGGUGAGUAACACGUGAGUGAUCUGCCCCCAACUUGGGUAUAAGCCUGGGAAACUGGGUCUAAUUCCCGAUAGGACUGCAGGGUGGUGCCUGUGGUGGAAGACGAUUUUCUAGUGGUUGGGGAUGAGCUCGCGGCCUAUCAGCUUGUUGGUGGGGUAAUGGCCUACCAAGGCGGCGACGGGUAGCCGGCCUGAGAGGGUGGACGGCCACAUUGGGACUGAGAUACGGCCCAGACUCCUACGGGAGGCAGCAGUGGGGAAUAUUGCACAAUGGGCGGAAGCCUGAUGCAGCGACGCCGCGUGGGGGAUGACGGCCUUCGGGUUGUAAACUCCUUUCGACCGCGAGGAAGCCACCUGGUUGGAAGGGUGGUGACGGUAGUGGUAGAAGAAGCACCGGCUAACUACGUG
This 494-nucleotide ribosomal RNA is filed under the name uncultured bacterium. RNAcentral describes it as "partial 16S ribosomal RNA". It matches the Rfam family "Bacterial small subunit ribosomal RNA", at positions 28 to 507 of the family's 1533-position model. The record is from RNAcentral.